Molecule: non-coding RNA, 894 nt
Organism: Paramuricea clavata
Lineage: Eukaryota; Metazoa; Cnidaria; Anthozoa; Malacalcyonacea; Plexauridae
Source: the annotation of a GenBank genome assembly
GUACGUGUAUGUAAAUUGUAAAUUGAGGAUGCUUAUUAAGUUAUGUUGCAUUUAAACAAAACAUCAUUAUUAAUAUUAUAUACUGUACAAGUUUAUAAUAGAGUUUCAUUAAGGAAAAUACCUAUCAUAGUAGACGUUCCUUACAAUAACGUCAAACGCGUAAAAACACUAAUGCGAUGUCCCAAGGGACAUAUUAUGAAAUUCAUUGGCUCGCCAACGACUUGAUUGCGAAUCGUCGCUAAAAAUUGUCCCGUGGGAGUGUGGAACAUCGCAUAAACUGGUUGUCCGCGUUUGACGCAAUCUCGUUCCCCGAGCCUGCGAUACUCGGGAAGGAACGCGAGGCUCUGGGGACUGGGAUAAUCCAUUUUAGGGAGGAAUCUGAUUGGUCGUUGAAAUGGAAUGCGCAGUUCAAUCUUAGCCAGGAUUCCUGGCUUCCGGCAACGAAUUAUCCCAGAGCCUCACGUUCCUUCCCGAGGAUCGCGACGCAGGCUCGGGAAACGAGAUUGCGUUUGAUGUCAUUAUAAGAAAGGUCUCAACCUCGUUCCCAGGGUCAUUCUUUCCUUCGCUUCGCUCCGUUCUAAGAAAGACCCUGGGACCGAGGUUGGAAAGGUCUAUUAUGAAACAUUUUACUUUUCACUGAACUGGAAAUAGUCUCAAGCAGAAUCGUCCAAUAUUGAAUGGAAAAGUACAUUUUACUCUGGGCAACCAAAGCGCAAAAUAUAUAAAUCUGCUUCGGAGCGCUACGCUUUCUGAUUGCGCAAUAUUAUUGUUCUGCCAUUUCUUUUAGAAAGCGAUGGCUCCGUGUUGCGCCCAGGCGCGCGCAAGCGAGGGCAUUCACCUGCCAUUAUUUAUUGACUAAAGAACAUGUAUCAGGCUGUCCACCCUUUGGUGAAG